Molecule: long non-coding RNA, 2247 nt
Filed under: Vigna radiata
Lineage: Eukaryota; Viridiplantae; Streptophyta; Magnoliopsida; Fabales; Fabaceae
Description: long non-coding RNA (VRAD_LNC006264)
Source: RNAcentral
GCAUGCAUCACACCAAAGAACAAAUCAUUCAACUCAACCAGAUCUAAUUACUACUAACGGCAACCCAAAGUUCCAGCAGCUCAUAACCAACUAUGCUAGUUACUACGUGAAAUACUAAACCUGCAGCAGUUCCAACCAACACUGAACCUGCACCAGCCAGCUAAACCAAAGAUAAUAUGGCAGCACCAAAACCUGUCCAGCAGCUGCUAAAUUUAUAGAACUCAAGAUUCCUUUCCAAAACAAAUCUACACAUCCAGAACCUACAUGAAGUACUUUAGUCUAGAAUAAAAUCAUGCCUCCAUUCAUCUUUGUGCACCAGUUUCACCAAGCUCUAAAGUGACAUUUUGCUGCACUAAAAAUGAAGAUGUGAAUCAACUGCACCAGCAGCAAGGUCUGACGCAGCUUCGUCAAACCAAAAUGAUUCCAGUGUGCAAAAUAGUCUUGAACAAAACGCUGUAUCAAGCAAACUGGUCCAGCACCAAUUCCAGCUCACCUUCCAGCAUCCAGAAAGCAGUUCCAUCAUCUUAAACUUGAUAUAACCCAUGCACAAAUACUGCACUAAGUCCAAAUAAUGACCAUCCAGUGCACUAAGCAUCGCAUAUGCGUCAACUGCACCUAUAUAAGCACGUUAACUCAAUCCAAGUGAUCAAUGCACUCCCCAGCAAAGUCCUUCAUCAAGCAACAAGCAUAACACCCCAAGAACAACACUAAAACCACCACAUAACCAGGAGAUUUUCUCCUUACACUAAAAUAAACUUUAGCGCUAGUUUUUCCUAAAAAAAACAGAAGUUUUACAUCAUAAGAACCAUGCAAUAUAAUGUCUUAACCCAUAAAAGUGAUCACAAGCUUAUAGCACUGAAAAAUUCCAACAAAAAUACCACUACUGCACAUUAGAAUCUCCUAAGCUCAUACAAUCAUGCUCUAAACUUUCAUAAAAAAAAAAACACUACACUAAUUCUAUUUAUAACACUAAUACAUAUAUCCACCAACCUAUUUCCACAAAAUACACAACACCAACCAUUAAUUCUAGGCCUCAAUUUAUAAACCAAAAGGAUGAAUCAAGCUGCAAACAACCUGCGUCAGUUUUCUUGAUCAAAGACUUAACAUCUAUACCAACCAAUAAUUACAUCAAGCUGAACCGAAACAACUAUGAGCACAAAAAAAUUUAUGGACUGCACCAGCAACAACGUUCAUAACUCACAACCUUAACAAUAUGCAUCCAGACCAUAAUUGCAUAAGAAAACAGCGUUUAUUAUUUAUUUUUGAAACAACACAACAACAUUUUCAAUUCCCGAAUGACACUAGUCACACAGCCACAUUUCUCUGCUCUGAUAAUAGAAUUUUAUACUCUAAAAGAUGAAGUACAUACCUGACCUUGUUGCUCUUUUAAUUGAAUUAAGCCCUACAAAACAGAAUUAUAUACCUACCCCAAAUAUUCAACGUAUGCUCACAAAAUAAUUACCAAUAAUAGCACAAAAACAAAAACCACGUUCAUCACCAAAAACAACCAUUCAUAUUCAGCAUACAAUAAUUUACAGAACCAAAAACCAAGGUUUAGCACCCAUUACAUCUUUUUCCAGCUCUUAAUGAUCUUAAUUUCGCAGCCACUUCCUUUGCUAGUUCUCACCUCAACAGAAGCACAAACAUUUUCUAAGGCCACAACACUCACGUUCUAUAUCUCUUCUAAUAUGCUGUUUUACAGGGUACACAAAAUAUAUGUGUAUCAAAUAAAAUUAUUGAAAUGAGAAGAGAACAAUUUUAAUUUACCUUAGGAGGAAGCCAGGCGUCUAUGUCAAAAUCAAAAACUCAUUCAAAGUUGACCUUAAUAUUUUGUAUGAGCUUCUUUCUGUCUGCACCAUAGCCUUUGGUGAGAUUUGGCCGCCACCGCCUUCUUGAACAUUCUCUACAGCUAUCGCAUUCACUCGCUUAGGUUCUCUACACCAAAUACAACCCACACCUGUGGGUUAAGGUUGGACACUGCUACCGCUGUCGAGACGCCACUAGAACGUUGUUGCUGACAUCAGAAUGUCGCCGGAAGAAUGUUGAAAUGUCAUUGCAACAGUGGACGCCGGAACGUUGCCGCUGUUUGGAACGAUGGAACAUUGCAUGCUGUCGGUGUACGCUGUCCUUGUUGGAACGUCGGACAACGAAUUCGCCGAGUUGGUUGUUAGAAUGAAAAGGCUGGGAUGUGAAAAGAGUUCAAGAGUUCCCAAGUGAAAACGGAAAUGUAUCAGACUUUUGGCUAAG